CUGUGGCCCGGAGACCGUCCUCUGCGGAGGCCGGGGGAGGGGCCGCGGCAGCACAGCCACUCACAGCUUCCGUCACUGACGUCACGUCUGUCCGAGCGAGUGCUUCCGGGCGGAGGUUACCAUGGCGGCGGCCUUGGCUCGGCUUGGGCUCCGGGCUGUCAAGGAAGUUCGGGUUCAGUUCUGUCCCUUCGAGAAGAACGUGGAGUCGACGAGGACCUUCCUCCAGGCGGUGAGCAGCGAGAAGGUCCGCGCCACCAACUUGAACUGCUCAGUGAUUGCGGACGUGAGGCACGACGGCUCCGAACCCUGCGUGGACGUGCUUUUCGGAGACGGGCAUCGCCUGAUUUUGCGCGGCACCCACCUCACUGCCCAAGAAAUGCUCACUACCUUCGCCUCCCACAUCCAGGCCAGGGGUGUGGUGGGGAGCGGGGACAAGCCUGGCGCUGGUGCGGGUCGCUGACAGCGCGUAAGAGACCAACAGAUUUUAACCUGGGACUGACCAGGACACUUAUCCAAGAAAAGCUGAACUUAACCAUUUAAAUCACUAUCUGGAGGGUCAUAGUGAGCCCCCCCCCCCCCCCACCACCACCAGAAAAAAAAGAGCCCCGUGACUACAAAUCUAACCAGUGCUUCUGGGAGGAGACAGGAUCCAGGAGGGGUCUGGACGAACUUGAAUUUAGUUCAUUUUCUAAUCAUCACUCACUUUUUAACUGUUUUGAAUUUGGCUCCCCCCCGCCACUCCCUCAUGAUACUUCUUACUCUUAUUAGCUAAAUCCAGUGCUGUUUGUUGGUUUUUUUUUCAGCCUUCAUCUUUCCAUCUCAGUAGCAUUUGCCACUUUUAAUUCACUCCCUGUGGAACUUCUCUUUUUAAUUUUUCUUCUCUUAACCAUAAAGGCAAACUUUUUUGUCUUCUCUAUUUAGGGGGCAUCUCAUCUUCUGUCCUAACUUGAACUACCCUCUUGGGUUAAACCCAGCAUUUCUCUUUUGAUCUCAUCUCAACUUCUGUGCUACAGUCAGGUUACCUACUACCAAUUUUCUCUAAAUCCUACAAAUACUCUUUGUCCAAAAUAGAAUUGAUAAUCUUACAUACACGUAUACUUGCCUCUCCCCCUGACUUCCCCAUUCCUUUUAAAGGCACUUCAUCUGCUCAGCCACCUGGCCUGGAAAUCACAGCAUUAUCUCUGAUUCUGCUGUCUCCUUUUCCCUGCAUAUCCAGCCAGAAAAGAUGGUUGCUAGCCAAUCAAGGAUAUCAAGACACUGCCUGCUGGGUAACUUCCCAAAUACAUUUUUCAUAACUCCUACAGCAUCACUACACUGCUUCUCUGCUUAAAGGGGUGCUAUCUUCAAAGGGCUGUUUUUUUCCCCUAUCCCUUUAUAAGAAAGAAAACUACCAGGAGGCAGUAUAGUGUAGUAAAAAUCCAAAGUGCCUGGGAAGCUUUGCCCUUAAGUAACUGUGUAACUUUGAACAAAUUACUUGUCUCUCAGUGCCUCUUUCCUCAUUUGUAAAAUGGGGAUAAUAGUACCUACCUUGUAAGACUGUUGAGAGGAUUAAAUGAAUUGACAUCUGUUAAGCACAUAGAGCAUUACUGGGAAUGAAAUAUGUGUUAUGUGAAAGGCCUUAUUGUCCUGCUUUGUGUACACCAUGAGAAGACAGGGUUCUUUGGAAGACACAUUAAUGCUGGGGAAAAUAGAAGGCAGCAGGAAAAGAGGAAGACCAAAUGUGAGGUGAAUUGACUCCAUAAAAGCAGCCAUAGGCAUGAGUUUACAGGAGUUGAGCAGGGCUGUUGAGGACAGGACAAUGGAGACAAAACUCAUUCAUGGCUUGCCAGGAGUCUGAGCCAUCUCAGUGGCAUGUAAUUAAUACACAAGAAGCUUUAUGCUACAGUAGAAGUUUUACCCUAGAUUUGAAUUUCCCAGCUCUGUGGUUAAUUGGUUAUUAUCUUUGGCCAGACGUAAGCACUCCUCAUAUUUAUUUAUUUAGUUAGUUAAUCCUCAGCCAAGUAUAUUUUUUCCAUUGAUUUUUAGAGAGUGGAAUGGAGGGAAGGAUGGAGUGGGGGAGAGCGAUAUGUAUUGGUUGCGUCUGGCAUGCUCCCCAACCCAGGUAUGAGCCCUUGACUAGGAAUCGAACCCACAACCCUUCAGUGCAUAGGCCAACAUUCUAACCACUGAGCCACACAAGCCAUGCAAGCACUCCUCAUUUUUUAAGUGGGGAUGAUUCAUACAUUGCUGUAAACAUGUGAACUUGAGGUUGGGGCUGAUUGGGGCUGUUUUUAUCUGUCCUCAGCACCUUGCAUAGUGCCUGAUGUGCAAUAAACAUUUGU
RNA transcript from Molossus molossus (Pallas's mastiff bat), 2321 nucleotides. It is a transcript of the gene named mitochondrial ribosomal protein L53, with no coding region annotated. The transcript is spliced from 4 exons. NCBI's taxonomy places the organism in Eukaryota, Metazoa, Chordata, Mammalia, Chiroptera, Molossidae. The record is from RefSeq and is a predicted model, not a curated record.